This 496-nucleotide ribosomal RNA is filed under the name uncultured bacterium. RNAcentral describes it as "partial 16S ribosomal RNA". It matches the Rfam family "Bacterial small subunit ribosomal RNA", at positions 29 to 507 of the family's 1533-position model. The record is from RNAcentral.
AUGAACGCUGGCGGCGUGCCUAAUACAUGCAAGUCGAGCGAACAGACGAGGAGCUUGCUCCUCUGACGUUAGCGGCGGACGGGUGAGUAACACGUGGAUAACCUACCUAUAAGACUGGGAUAACUUCGGGAAACCGGAGCUAAUACCGGAUAAUAUAUUGAACCGCAUGGUUCAAUAGUGAAAGACGGUCUUGCUGUCACUUAUAGAUGGAUCCGCGCCGCAUCAGCUAGUUGGUAAGGUAACGGCUUACCAAGGCAACGAUGCGUAGCCGACCUGAGAGGGUGAUCGGCCACACUGGAACUGAGACACGGUCCAGACUCCUACGGGAGGCAGCAGUAGGGAAUCUUCCGCAAUGGGCGAAAGCCUGACGGAGCAACGCCGCGUGAGUGAUGAAGGUCUUCGGAUCGUAAAACUCUGUUAUUAGGGAAGAACAAAUGUGUAAGUAACUAUGCACGUCUUGACGGUACCUAAUCAGAAAGCCACGGCUAACUACGUG